This 207-nucleotide ribosomal RNA is filed under the name uncultured bacterium. Its description in RNAcentral is "partial 16S ribosomal RNA". It matches the Rfam family "Bacterial small subunit ribosomal RNA", at positions 1294 to 1500 of the family's 1533-position model. The record is from RNAcentral.
CGGAUUGCAGGCUGCAACUCGCCUGCAUGAAGCUGGAAUUGCUAGUAAUCGCGGAUCAGCAAGCCGCGGUGAAUGCGUUCCCGGGCCUUGUACACACCGCCCGUCACACCAUGAGAGUCGGGAGCACCCGAAGUCCGUAGUCUAACCGCAAGGGGGGCGCGGCCGAAGGUGGGUCCGGUAAUUGGGGUGAAGUCGUAACAAGGUACC